Molecule: ribosomal RNA, 1245 nt
Filed under: metagenome
Description: bacterial LSU rRNA
Rfam family: Bacterial large subunit ribosomal RNA
Source: RNAcentral
UGAAUACGAGAUGCUACGGCGUCGAAGCAGUGUAUGUCAGACUUCCAAGAAAAGCUCGCAAUGUCAUAAAUAAAGAAUGCCUGUACCAUAACCGACACAGGUGGGUAGGUAGAGUAUACUAAGGGGCGCGAGAUAACUCUCUCUAAGGAACUCGGCAAAAUAACUCCGUAACUUCGGGAGAAGGAGUGCCUUCUUGAAGAAGGUUGCAAUAACAAGAUCCAAGCAACUGUUUAUCAAAAACACAGGUCUCCGCUAAGUCGAAGGACGAUGUAUGGGGGCUGACGCCUGCCCAGUGCCAGAAGGUUAAAGAAGCUGGUUAGCAAUAGCGAAGCUGGUGACUGAAGCCCUGGUGAACGGCGGCCGUAACAAUAACGGUCCUAAGGUAGCGAGAUUCCUUGUCGGGUAAGUUCCGACCCGCACGAAAGGCGUAAUGAUUUGGAUACUGUCUCGGAGAGGGACUCGGUGAAAUAGACUUGUCUGUGAAGAUGCGGACUACCUGCACCAGGACAGAAAGACCCUAUGAAGCUUUACUGUAACUUGAAAUUGAAAUUGACUUUAUUUGCGCAGUAUAGGUGGAAGGCGUUGAGAUUACUCUUGCGGGAUUAGUGGAGCCAUCAGUGAGAUACCACUCCUAUAAUGUUAGAUUUCUAACUUUGGAUCAUAAUCUGGUCAAAGAACAGUUUCAGGCGGGCAGUUUGACUGGGGCGGUCGCCUCCCAAAUGGUAACGGAGGCGUACAAAGGUUUCCUCUGAACGGGUAGAAAUCGUAUCUAGAGUGUAAAGGCAUAAGGAAGCUUGACUGUGAGACCUACAAGUCGAGCAGGGACGAAAGUCGGUCUUAGUGAUCUGACGGUGCUGAGUGGAAAGGCCGUCACUCAACGGAUAAAAGUUACUCUAAGGAUAACAGGCUGAUCUCCCCCAAGAGUUCACAUCGACGGGGAGGUUUGGCACCUCGAUGUCGGCUCAUCGCAUCCUGGGGCGGUAGUACGUCCCAAGGGUUGGGCUGUUCGCCCAUGAAAGCGGUACGCGAGCUGGGUUCAGAACGUCGUGAGACAGUUCGGUCCAUAUCCGGUGUAGGCGUUAGAAUAUUGAGAGGAGCCUUCUUUAGUACGAGAGGACCGAGAAGGACAUACCUCUGGUGUACCAGUUAUCGUGCCAACGGUAAACGCUGGGUAGCUAUGUAUGGAGAGGAUAACCGCUGAAAGCAUCUAAGUGGGAAGCCCCCUCAAGAUGAGUAUUCUCAUCU